AUGGAGAGCAACAGCAGCACCUGCGCCAUCUGCAAUGGCGACAUGCGCCGUGGCGGCGGUGGCGGCAGCGGCUUCACGGCCGACUGCUCCCACCAGUUCCACUACCGCUGCGUCUCCGGGAGCCUCGCCAGCAGCCGCCAAGCCUGCCCGCUGUGCAGCGCGCGGUGCCGCGACCUGCCGUCCUUCCGCUCCUCCAAGAGCUCCACGCCGUCACAGCCGCCGCUCGCGUCGCGCGCGCCGGCACAACCGUUCUUCCGGCCCAUGGAGCCACGCGUCUUCGACGACGACGACCCGGUGGUCCGGGCGCCUCGGCCUCUCGGCGACCGGCACCAUGGUACCGCGAGUGCGACGUCCAGCGGGUCUUUAGCGGUGGCGCUCAGCACGCACUGCGAGUACUCGUCCCUGGCACGGGACGCGUCACACGAGAACUUCGCCGUGCUCGUGCACGCCAGGGCUCCGGGAACUGGUGGCGCCGCCACCGGCGGGGCGCCGCCGCGCGCGAGGGCGCCGAUCGACCUGGUGACCGUGCUCGACGUGAGCGGCAGCAUGGUAGGGAGCAAGCUGGCGCUGCUGAAGCAGGCCAUGGGUUUCGUCGUCGACAGCCUCGGCCCCGCGGACCGCCUCUGCGUCGUGUCCUUCUCGUCCGGCGCCAGCCGCCUGAUGCGGCUCGCGCGCAUGUCGGAAUCGGACGGCGGGAAGGACCUGGCGAAGCGCGCCGUGCAGUCCCUCGCGGCGGGCGGCGGCACCAACAUCGGGGCCGCCCUUCUCAAGGCCGCCAAGGUGCUGGACGACCGCCUCCGCAGGAACGCCGUCGCGAGCGUGAUACUUCUGUCGGACGGGCAGGACACGUACACCGUGCCCAAGCGCGGCCGUGACGCCAACUACGACGCGCUCGUGCCGCCUUCCUUCAUGUACACCGGCGCCGGCGACCGGUCCGCGCCUGUCCACACGUUUGGGUUCGGCACCGACCACGACGCAGCGGCGAUGCACACCAUCGCCGAGGCCACGGGCGGCACGUUCUCGUUCAUCGAGAACGAGGCGGACAUCCAGGACGCAUUCGCGCAAUGCAUCGGGGGGCUCCUCUCCGUCGCCGUGCAGGAAUUGCGCGUUGACAUCGCGUGCCCGCAAUCGGGGGUGCGCGUCCGGUCGGUCAACUCUGGCCACUACAGGAGCCACAUCAACGUGGACGGCCGCUCCGCCUCCAUCGACGUCGGCGAGCUGUACGCCGACGAGGAGAGGCGCUUCUUGCUGCUCAUGGACGUGCCGAGGGCCCGAUCCACCACGGAUGUCACCCACGUGAUGCAAGUCAGCUGCGCUUACCGAGACAUGAUGACUGGACGGCCAACGAACGUGGACGGCGAGGACGCGGUGGUGCUGAGGCCCUCGCGGGCGUUGAGCCUGGAGCGCUCCGCGGAGGUCGAGCGGGAGCGCGUCCGGUUGGCGGCGACGGACGGCAUCGCUGCGGCUCGUGCGGCGGCAGAGCGGGGCGCUCACGAGGAGGCGGCCGAGAUACUCCAGAGCGGGCAGCGAGCCGUGGCGCGCUCGGCGGCCGCACGAGCGGGGGACUCGAUGUGCGUAGAGUUGUCCCGGGAUCUGCAGGAGAUGAGCGCCCGCGUGGCGGACCGGCGGCGGUACGAGCUGUCCGGGCGUGCGUACAUGCUGGCAGGGCUGAGCUCGCACGCGCAGCAGCGCGCGACGUCGCGGCAGAUGUCUGGCGCCAGCGAGACGACGCGCCGCAGGGCAGAGGCGGCCCUUGGCACGACGGUAAUAUCCACGACGGGCGCCACGGCGUCGUACUCGUACGUGACACCGGCGAUGAUGGACAUGCUGGACCGAUCGCGGAGAUCGCGGGAAAUGACGGCGCUGUCGCAGCAGAGGAGUAAGGAGCGGCGAAGGAGCGCACACUACUGA
Molecule: ribosomal RNA, 1911 nt
Filed under: Triticum aestivum (bread wheat)
Lineage: Eukaryota; Viridiplantae; Streptophyta; Magnoliopsida; Poales; Poaceae
Description: partial small subunit ribosomal RNA
Source: RNAcentral